Molecule: ribosomal RNA, 203 nt
Filed under: uncultured bacterium
Lineage: Bacteria
Description: partial 16S ribosomal RNA
Rfam family: Bacterial small subunit ribosomal RNA
Source: RNAcentral
GACAGAGGUGCCAAGCGUUAGGCGGAAUCACUGGGCUUAAAGCGUGUGUAGGCGGACUUCUAAGUGCCUUGUGAAAUCCCCCGGCUUAACCGGGGAACCGCUGGGCAGACUGGGAGUCUUGAGCCACCUAGGGGUCGCUGGAACAAACGGUGGAGCGGUGAAAUGCGUAGAUAUCGUUUGGAACGCCAAAGGUGAAAACAGGC